This 10629-nucleotide long non-coding RNA is filed under the name Mytilus galloprovincialis (Mediterranean mussel). Lineage: Eukaryota; Metazoa; Mollusca; Bivalvia; Mytilida; Mytilidae. The record is from RNAcentral.
UGGUUAACGAAAAACAUAUAAAUAUGAUGUCUAUAACAAUAUAUUCAUACCACAAAUAAACAUACACACAGGUUUGUGAAUUUCAGUUUACAGGUGAUACGACACACGUGUUUUAUUUGCGACUCUCGAAUUUGAAUUAAGUUUCUGCAAAGGAUAAGAAAAGCUUAAAUUACGUUAAUGCAAAUGCACAUACGUUUCCAAAUAACAAAUAGCUUUUUAACGCCGUUGACAUUAUUUUCAAUUUUAACUUUUUAUGAAUUUAUUGUGAUAGUGUGUUAUAGAAUGAAUAUAUUUGUCACUGUUCACAUCGACAUAUAAAUUGAAUGGAUUUUCAUUAUUUCAAUUCUUUGUACGGCAAUUUUUGUGAAACAUAAUCAUUUAUAUGUGUUUUAUUUUUCUCCAGAUCUGUGAUCAUGUUCGUAAAGGCAGUCUUCAGUGUAUUUAUUUUUUUAUUCGUUCUCGUAGCAGGUAAGUUCUUUAUAGAGUUGAAAUAUCAAGGAUUUUACAUGACUCCUCGUCUGUCCCAGCAAAAAUCAAACCUUCUUUGUCUAAAUAACAUUUCAAAAAACCUAUUACCUCCUGUUGAUUGUUGAUGUCGUGCUAUUCAGAGAUAAUCAAGUUAUAGACAGACGCAUUUCCGCAUGUUAGCUUAAUACCUCCUCUAAGAAUUAAAGGUCUCCGAUAUGUAUAAGCUGACUACACUUCACGAAUCCAUCAACUUUUGUAUCCUUUCAACUAAUAUUUUUCACGUUCUCUAACUACAGUAACAUAACGUAUUAUUAAUUAAAAAAGCCAUCUGGAAAUGGUUGAAUAAAAUAUUUUUAAAGAAACGUAUAUGUACAACCAGAGUAUCACAUUCUUUGAUCAAAAAGUAAACUAACAAAUAUACCGAACUCCAAGGACAUUCAAAGUCCUUUAACCAAGUUAAGGUGGUACCUAACACUACAGGGAGAUAACUCUGUAAAGUCAGCGAAACGUUUUAAUAACGUUGCGUUGUAAAGGAAAUAUUAAGCUUCUCAGUGAUCUAAAUUGGUGUUUGUCAAACUGCUAUAUAACCAGUGUAAUUUUUCUGAUAAAAUGGUUGGUUCAAAAUUUUUGAAAUUUUUAUAUUUUUGUAAAAGGGUUAGAAUAAAUACUUAGCCAAAAUUUUAUGAAAAUUAAACGAGCCAAAUUAAUUUUAGUGAAAGUGUUGCGUACCACCUCAAUAGCAAAAUCCAAAGCCCAAACACAUCAAACAAAUGGAAAACAACUGUCAUAUUCCUAUAUGGUAUAUGCAUUUCCUUAUCUUAAAAAUGGGAUUUUAAGCUAUGUUAUUUACAAAGCUCAAUAUUUUAAAGACGGUCCAUGUAAACUUAUCGACAAUUUGUAAAUUUGUUAAAAAAAAAACCAACACGUUUUAAUCUGAAUUCUGUAGAAAAUCUUUUUCCCUACGAUAUGUCUUAUCAUCAGAGAGAACAUCACUUAUUUAUUUGUUAUAACUGCCAUUAAUCUAGCUCUCAGUAGCUGUGAGUACUCUUUGUACGACAUUUUGUGCUUUAUGUCUUGUUGUUAGAUGUGUUCGUGUUACGUUCCUAUCAAAGUAGUUUUACUGAAAUAUUUGGUUUUAAAUCCUAUAUUUGAAUUGACCUUUCAAUGUUUUUACUUUUUAUGCCACUGAUGAGUCUGAGGAAGACUUUUUCCCUUGAUGUGAUUAUGUUUCGUUCUUUUAACUAUAUAAGCCCUAACUUCUUUCGUUUGAAUUGUUCAACGUAUUUUUUUGAUGGGUACUUUUUGGCUUUCUGCAUUGAUUUAGGCAUACUCAUUUUUGAAGGACGUGUGAUGGCCCUAGCUAGUAUUUAGUUUCUUCCAUCCUCGUUAUCUACUUGAUAGUCAUCUCAUUGCCCGGUCUCCUAAUUGUUCUCUAACUAAACUCUUAUUCCGGAAAUGUUCCUGAUUCUGCUUUUUUAAAGAAUUUAUUUGAUAGGCAUUUGCUGUCACUUGGGUAUUCUGUUAAAACUUAGGAGAAGAUUCAUGAAAUAAUAAGUAAUGAAAUGAUGAGGCAAAAACAGUACAUUUGAGUUGUUUCACAGGUAUCUAAAUAUACUAACAAUUCUGUUUUCAGUAAAUGCAUUGUGUAGCCAUCCAUGUUCUCGAGUCAACAGAGGCGAAUUUGUCGAUGAAACAAAUACAUACACAUUUUCAUGUACCAAUACAUCAAUUUUAUCAGUUAAUAAUGGAGAAGAAUUAAGAGAAUGUUAUGCAAGACUUGGAGCCUUUCUUGUAGUCAGGUAAGAAAAUGUGCACAUGCAAUUGAAACUUGAAAUGGAGAAUGUGUCAAAGAGACAAACACCCGACUAAAGAGCAGACAACAGCCGAAGGCCACCAAUGGGUUUAAAAUGCAACAAGAAACUACCGCACUCGGAGGCAUGCUUCAGUUGGCCCCUAAACAAAAAUAUGUACUAGUUCAGUAAUACUGGACGUCAUACUAAACUCCGAAAUAUACACAAUAAACAAAAUUAAUAAUCAUACAAGACUAAAAAAGGCCACGGGCUCCGGAUUUAUGACAAGAGCAAAAUAACAGUGUAAUACUUCUAGUACUCUUUCCCAUUUUAUUGUGCUCAAGUUAGGGACAUACUAAUUCCUGUCAAAAAAUGUAUUUACAGGUUAGCUAAGACCCACCGCCGGGUUCGGGAUUUUCUCGCUGCAUUUAAGACCAAUUGGUUGCCAUCGGCUGUUAUCUGGUCUUUGGUCGGGUUGUUUCUAUGAUUAAUUCCUCACUUCCGUUCUCAAUUUUAUUGUUGCUAACGACAACAUGAGUAAAAUAAAUUUCCGGUUAUUUUUUUUUUUUUUCAUGCCAUAUUUUAUUUCCUGAAUUUUUUAACAGAGAGGGGAUGUUCUAUAUUGAUAAAAUUUACCUGAAAGAUAUCAAUAGUUAACCUGUUUUUUCGUAUUAUUUGCUUUUUUUUUUUUACUUUUUAACUUGUUUGGCAAAUUGGUUCAUAGAGUCAUCUAUGAAUUGAUUUACAUAUUAACAUCACACUGAUAUUAAAAUAAUGCUCUACAAAUUCUUAUUGUCCGCUUUUUUGUAUACUAUUUAAUUGGAUAAUUUAUUUUUCAGGAAUGGUAAUAGAUACAGAUGUGUAAAACACACCCUCUAUGACCGUACUGCCCGAAUAAUAUUUGUGUAUGUUACACCUUACAGUAAGUCAUUGUUAUCAAUAAAAAUAUAUACAAGAUCAAUUAAGAAGUCAAGAAACACGGUAAAAAAAUAGUAUUUAGCAAUCGCGUACUGUGAAUUCGAAACUUAUUGCGAACAUUUAUUUUUAGAAUGAAAUGCAAUUUUAAUUUUUGCGACAUUGACACAAAAAUUCCUGUUUGAUUUGCAUAUAAAUACAUUCAAAAUGUAAAUUUAAAUUAUUGCGACUAUAACAUGUAUAACCAAGUCACAUUUUACGAAAUACUUAAAACAUUGAAAUAAUUGCAAUAAACUCUAAAUAGAACAACAACAGUUUGUUUGACAGAUUUAGCUUCUACAGUUAUGCAUGUAUCAUCAGCCAACCAACAUUCGCCAUCUUAGAUUUCAUAAACAGACGACAAAUGUUUGUUACCAGAAGUAAAACAUGUCGUCAGUGAUACAUCUCGUGAUGGUUUCUGUUAAUCACUACCGAAAUUAGGAAUAAUAUCAAUAGAACAAUUAUAAUAUGUAUCGGCUUAAGAAGUCAUGCUUUCGUACCUCUAUUUGGAGGUGUGUAAUAUGAUUGCAGAAGAGGCAACUCUCCGCCAACAUUACACACAAAAAGAAGACGUGGCAUGAAUGCUCAUAGAUAGAAAAUAAACUGACAUCGAUAUGAAGAAAAAAGAAGAAUGAUAAUAAAAUGAUUGUAAUAAAUGUAGUACACCUGCAAACAUAACAUACAAAAAUAAAGACUAAGAAAAAGCUGGGGGUGAUCUCAGUUGCUCCGGAAGGGGAACCAGUCGUGUUGCUCAUGUCAUUACAAACGCGGAAAAAUAGUCUUAUUCAGUAGGUCACAUUCGUGAAAAGGGAAUGGAAGUGUAAUUACACCAUAAGGAACAUAUUCAAUAGCAUCUGUGAGAAAGAUAAUCCAUAAUGGCCAACCAACUCGUGGUGGCGUCUGUGUAAUUAACACUUGAUUUUAACUUUAAAAUUUGGAACUCUUAGUUUAAUAGCUAUGUUAUUGUUAUGGAUUGAUGUAUGAUGGAAAACAAAUUAACUCUUAAACUUUUACUUACAGGAACAUUUUUAAGAGAACCAUCUAUUUGUGAUGUUUGUUCAGGAACAUUUACAUCAGCUUUAUUUGUCGGUAUGUAUUUUUGUAACAUUGAAUACGCGUGUAUGAUGGCUGAAUAAAAAAUUACAACCGUCAUCUGUUUUUUUUUAUUAUUUCAUCAGCAUCGAUAGAGGUCUAAAUUGACAUUUGCAUAGUUCUGUCAUUUUAUCUAAAAAAAAUCAUUAGGAAGGGUAACUAAAAUUUAUCAUUUAACGGAAGAUCUUACAGUAUUUUGCCUUCUUGGUAUCAAAAAUGACUGUCACUCGAGUUCUACGGAAGCAAGAAAUUAUUAAACUUAUUGUUUUUACUUUUUUCUAUUUAUUGUAUUUUCUAGAUGAGACCAGUGUGUCUUGUAUUGGGCUAUUGUAAAUUUGAUUAUUAUUUAAGGAAUUACUGUAAUAUUUUUUCUGUCUAUGAAGAAAUAACAUAAAAAAUUUGGUGCACACUGAAUAACGUGCGUAGCGGGUUAUUUAACAGUGUGCACCACAUUUUUUAUGUUAUUUCGAAUAGACAGAAAAAAUAUUACAGUCAGUUCUUAUAAUUUAAUUCUAAACUCUAUUUUAAACCGUAUAAAACCAUGAAAAAACGUUGAUGACGUCACGGUCACAUGACUAAAUUAUGUCUAUGGGCUCAUAACAAAAUAACGUCAGCCAAUCAGAAGACGCGUUACAUCCAAAAUUAAAUUAUACGGAUAUGUACUCCAUUUAAGGAUGUACGUAGGUGAGGUUUUGGGAAUGGUGUCAAAUGUUUGGACUCCUUGGUGUUUUCCAUACAAUACAAUGUAAAAUAUUUUGCCCCAUAACACCCAUUCUAUUUUUUCAUAUAAGACUUAAUAGCUCAUGAAAAGUCAUUUAUAAACAUUUUAGAAGAUUCUUGAUUUUCUUUCUUUUGUUUUGCGACCCAAUAAUAUCAAUGCAAAUAUAAGGUAAAAGUCCGAGUCAGCCUUUUCCCGCCAUAUUUUAAAUCUCAAUUAUCUCGAAAAGGAGGUCCAUGACCUAUCAAUAUUUUUAGCUUAUCUUUAUCCUUAAUUGAUGCUCUACCAGCUUAUAGUAUCAAUUUUAAUUUCUUAAUUUCUUAAUUUUUACCUAACCUCACCUAAGUGCAUCCUUAAACCAUAUGAUACCAUAUGAUACGUCAGUAAUAGUAAUUAUUGAUGUUAUUAAUAUUGUUAGACUUCAUUUGUCUAAUUGCAAUUUCAGAGACUUGUACCUGGGAGUGAAAAAAUAUGCAUACGCUAACAUCAUCUGGUUAUUCAAAAAUAGAAUUGAAAUAGCGUUGUUUUGCAAUACUAAAUAAAAUAUAGCCUAAUACGUUAAGGAUUUUAAGUCAACUAAUUAACGCAAAAUAAACUAGCAAUAUUAAAGAUUCUACAAUCUAAAAUAAGCAUGCAUAUUUAUAUUCAUAUUUGAAUCGUAAUAUUCUCUUCUUAUCUUUUUACAGCUAAAGGACAAGAUUGUAAGUAUACAUGUGUUGUUUUUAUUUUGAUAUUGUGUAAAGAAAUAUGUAGGAAAACAUAACAAGUCAUCAACAAUGAAAUUCAUCAGUUAUUUAGAUAUACCUUUUGACAUUUUUAGUGGAUCUUGUCAUAAAAUAUUUAUUUUCUAAUAAUCUUUGACCUUAUGUUAAUUUAUCAUCUCAAAACAUGAGAUCUAUAACCAGCUAUGUGAAGGGGUUCCAACAUAAAGUUUAAGUUUUUUCUCAAUUUCACAUUCCUUUCAGUUACUGUUCACCUAAUGUGCAACGUUGCAGUUUUAUCAUUUAAUUCCAUAGAGUGAUAUUAGAUGGUUAAAGUUAUGAGCUAACUUUAUCAUAAUACAAGCAUAGAUUGCUUUUAUAUCAAUAUUUAUGCGUUAGGAUUAUUUGGACAAAAUCAUUACCCUUUCUGGUAGCUAGAGAACGCAGCUCUACAAAACAAAACGGAAUACUAUCAGGUCGUGCCAUGGAUUUGUUAUUGUUUUAACGACUUAUACAUAUACCAGCAUAUAUAGCAGCUAUAAUACAACACGUCAAAAAAGAUACGCAUAUAACUUGUGUAAUGUUAAUCACUAACAAUUAACAAACCCAAUAAUUAUUUCUCUAGCAGUUGAAACACUAAAAGUUUAAUUAAAAAGAGACAAGGCGUAGGAUAAUAAUAGACAGAUAGAUAUGUUUUUGCUUUUUUAUGAUAAAAAAUAAAUUCUACUGUGUCAAAACCUAUAUAUUAACAUUACUUAAAAAUUGACCUAGAAUUUGUGAAUAGAUUUUUUUCAUUUUAUGUAUAAACCUAAAACGAUGACAAAAAUCUAAUGUUUUUGUAAUAGAAUGCUUUAUGCGUUCAUUGUCAAUAAUGAUCUUACGACAAACAUAUUUAUAAAAAGUUUUAAGAUACAAGUGCCCUGCGAAAGGUAUGCAAAAGUGAUAUUUGAAUUUAUUAGUAAAAGCAAACUGAUAAUGCCAUGGAAAAAAACAAGAACAACAAAACGACAAAUCCAUUCAUACAAUACAAUUUUAAAAUCAAUGACGUAGCAAAACGAAAUCCAGCUAACCUCUUUAUUUACGGUGCUUCUGACGGUUAAGCUGUACUUGCUCGACAUUUGACAUCCGUCGAGGUACUCCUAUAAGAUAUGACGAUAAGUUGAAACAAGUGAAAAAGCAUCACACAAUUGUAGAUUAGUAAUCGACGGGUGCAACAUACGAAGCAGGAUCGGUUUACCCUUCCUGAGCACCUGCGAUAACCCCCAUAUUUUGGUAGGGUCGUGUUGCUUAGUCUCAAGUUUUUUAUGUUGUGUCUUGUGUACUAUUAUUUGCCUGUUUUUCUUUUUCUUUUUAAAUCUUUCAGUUUGAAUGUCCCUCUGGUAUCUUUCGCCCCCCUUUUUUAUCUUAUUAAAAUUUGUAAACCAUCGGUCGUGUAAACUUUUUGUGAAGCUUGAACGAAGGUAAAUUAUUAAAAUAACAUGAAUAUCAAUUAAUUUGACCUGACAAAAAUCGUUAUGAUUGUUGGAAAAAUCAGACCACAAUUGCCAUAUCCUUUUCUUUAAUUCCCUUUCAUAUAAAUUUACUUGUAAGUUUAUACGUAGAUACCUGUAAUACAAAACGUUUGCUUGAGGCUUGUUUAUGACCAUGUACUAACAUAAUCAUUAUAAUAAUAUGUUUGUUACUUAACAUGAACUUUUAUUUUUUUCACAGAUCAAGCUGCGAAAUUACGUAAGUAAAUUUUAAUUGAUGGAACAAAAUUUACAUAUUUCAUAUUACGUAACUUGUCUAGUUAAACAAUGACAAAUUAAAAGUUUACAGGGAGUAAAUCAAUAUGACUUAAUUUCCUUAUGAUAUAUUUCGUUUAAUUGAAAAUGAAGACGUGGUAGGGUUUUCAAGUAACCAACUAUCAACCGAAAAAUGGACACGAUGUUAGUCGCAAAAUUUCAUCUAUUUUAUUAAAUGUUUCUCGGACGUUCUGGUGUGGAUGCUUGAGAGACUAUUUUAUACAUUAUUUAUUUAUGUGAUAUUCCCCUUUGGUGUGAAGGGUGGGUAAAGUUUUAAAGUAUAGAAAUAUGUUAGACGUAAUACAAAUAAAGGAUAUCACUUAUUGGAAUCUACAUAUGAUAUAUAAAUGUCACAUUGUACGAACAUAAGUAAAACAAAUAUUAGAAACAGUAAUCAUUUUGAUAUCUGUCAAUCAAAAUUAGAAUGAAAAGAGAGUAUUACAAAAAUACCGAACCCCUAGGUAAACUACAAAAUGGUAGGUCAAUACCAAAAAAUAACAAAAUUAAACGAUAAAACUCAGAAAAACGAUUAAAACCACGUGAUAUUAAUGAUUUAUGAUUUAAAGCAGUGGGAUAUAGACUAACGUUUUCAGCAUUUACAAUGUAAAUGGUCAUAUGUAAAAUGUUUUUUUUAAAUUGGUAAUAUUUCUAAAACUACAAAGGAUGUAGGCUUGAGGAUUUGCAAAUGAUUAGGAUCUCACUUAAUGAAAGUAACAGUUGUUUUCUUUUUCCUCACGUUCAAGACAACAAAUAUAUCAAUUUUCAGAAAGCCAUCAUCAAUAGGAAUGAAAUCUUUGCAUGACUUUAUUGAAAUAUUCAUAUGUUAGAUGUACAAAUGAUAAUGAUAAUUUAUGGAAACUUUAAAUAUUUUCAUUUUGGCGGUUAUAUAAUUACCGUUGAUGUCAUUUAUUCAACUCUGAAUAGUGAUUUAUUAGUAUGUUUUUUUUUUAUUUUUUUAUUAUAUAUGUUUACACAAUUGUUGCUGUUAAAUACCCUUUUAGCCGUAUUUGGCACACAUUUUGGAAUUUUGGGUCUUUAAUGCUCUUCAACUUUGUACUUGUUUGCCGUUAUAACGAAUUAAAUCUGAGUGUCACUGAUGGGUAUAUUUAGACGAAACGCGCGUCUGGCGUAUUAAAUUAUAAUACUGGUACCUUUGAUAAUUUUUUGGUCACAUCUACCAAUUGUGUUUGGGUUGCUAAUUUUAUUUUGUCAAUACAACAGAACUAUGCGAUACAACUGGUACAUACUCUUGAAAUUAAACAGUACAUUUGCAGUCGAUCGGUUGAGUAAUUAGAUUGUAAUUGUCGGCAUUUUUUCAAAUUUAUCUUUUGAGUUCGGUAUUUUGUUACGAUCACUAGACAUGCUGAAUAAAACAGAGAUGAUAGUAAUUUUCAGAUUUUUUUAAGUCAUAUGAAAUCUCAAAUUUAAAGAAAAUGAUGCAUAUGUUUUUUUUUAUAACUAAAUGGAUAAUUUUCAUUGUAAAACUUAUGUAAAUAUACUUUUUUGGGAAGAAAAUCCUUUAAUUAAGAAGUUUACUUUUUUUAAUUGCUUGCUUCCAGAAAGCAAUUCGCCGACAUAUUUUCCGUAUGCAAAGUUACCUUAGCACGACCCUACUUAAAAACACCUGGGGGUCACAUUACGCAUAGAUCUGUCAUAAAAAAAACCUAUUAUGUAAGUGAACAUUUUAAACCCGUAUAAAUAUCCAUGCUUCUUUGUUUAUUGUUUACUAUAAGGUGACAAUCGGUAAACCUCGGCUUCAAAAUAAUACAAUGUAGUAUCUGCAAUAUUUCCACAUCAUAACAGACAGAGAAGAAAAAUGAUAAAAUCGCGUAUAGAAGAAUAAGUUUAUGAUAUAUACAUGUAUUGGUUCAAAAAUUGGAUAAUCAUUAUUUUUCACCCUUAACUGGUUUCAUAUGACUUUAGUAGUUAUAAAUUGUUCAGUACUUUCUUCUUUGUAAUCAUUAACAACUUGCAUUUAUUUUUCUUUUAAACAGGAACACCACCACGUAAGUUAUUUUUUAAUAUAAUAGUUAUUAUAUGUUGCCAUGAAAAUUCAAAUAAAGAUUCAAACAACAUCAACUUAACCAAAAGUGCUAUAAAAUAAGUGUUUUGACCAAAAUACCAAUAACGUAACUAUGUUAUUGUGCGUUCCAAUUACAAAUGUUUAACACUAUCACUUAUUGCGAAAAGGCAAACGUGUAAUAGUUAAUUUAAAAUUAAACAAUAUUGUAAUGUUCUAAUUUCUAGCCAUUACUAUCAUGUGAAAUUAAGAAGAGCGUUUUGCGAACGAAAUAAUACUCACAUUUGCUUUCAUUGUUGACUUUAAAUGAAAAUUACAAUACAAAGGUAUUUUUGACAAAUAUGCUCCAAGAUGAAAUAACGUGGACGUUUAUGUCAGCUUAUGUAGGCUACUAAACUUUUUUUUAAAUCCUUUCAUAUAAUGAAAUCUACUAUAAAUUGUUUAUAUUAAGAUUUGAGAACUUCAUAUGAUAAAACAUAUCACUGGUUUUCAAUUUCAUAAUAUUUGUGCAGACAAUCAUUAAGACACGAAUUAAUUCGACAUGAUCUGUUCAUGCUAAAAAAGGGUGAAAUAUAAAAACCUUCAAUAUUAAAAUCAAACUAGAGUUUUCAUAACCAAAUGUUGAGAAAAGAUUUAACUUCUUAUUGUUCUUUACAUCUUACAAUAACAAUCACUAAGAUAAUCAAAUACACUUUGUGGUCUUAUUAAAGUUUAAGUUUGAUACACUAGUACAACAUAAAAAUAACGUAUAAUUGUUAUCCUUCAGUAAAAAUAAUGUCCCAUACAGGCAAAAUGAAAAUUGCAGCACAUAUUGGAAUAAAUUAUUAGUUAAAAUUGUGUACGACUUUUGAUGAUAGGAAAUUGAAUAUCAAUGUUAGUCAAAAAUCAAAAUACAACAUUUAACGUUGCAUUCACAAUUUCGGUAUUUGAUUUAUAACUUUACGUUUUAGGAUUGGGAUGUAACAGACCGCCACUCUGUCCUAUUACCGACUACGCUAAUGACAGACCAUGUACCGGAUGUGAACCACAGGAGGAUGAUGGACUAGGAUGCUCAAGAUGUAAAACAUGCAAAAGAUCAUACAAUUAAAACACAUGAAAUCCA